CCUAUUUUUCUUCAUCUUCUUCUCUCUCAUCUCACCUGUCCUAAUAUCUAUACAUCCCCAUCUCCUCUUUUCCAUCCAUAGCCUAACCCUUCCUCAUGCUCUCUCCUUCUUCCUCUCAAGCCUAGUAAGUCUACUUUACCCUCUUAUCAAUUUUAUUUCUUUGUAGUACUUAGGAAAAGGAACUAUGGCUUGGAUUCUUUGUUUCAUUAUUUUUCACCUGAUAAGUGGCAUAUUUUUGCAUUUAUUGAAGAUAUUUUUGAUAAU
Molecule: long non-coding RNA, 264 nt
Filed under: Elaeis guineensis (African oil palm)
Lineage: Eukaryota; Viridiplantae; Streptophyta; Magnoliopsida; Arecales; Arecaceae
Description: long non-coding RNA (EGUI_LNC028540)
Source: RNAcentral